RNAcentral lists this ribosomal RNA (767 nucleotides) under Strophosoma melanogrammum. RNAcentral describes it as "eukaryotic LSU rRNA". It matches the Rfam family "Eukaryotic large subunit ribosomal RNA", at positions 406 to 940 of the family's 3401-position model. Lineage: Eukaryota; Metazoa; Arthropoda; Insecta; Coleoptera; Curculionidae. The record is from RNAcentral.
CGUUUAGGGGUAAACCUGAGAAGCCCGAAAGGUCGAAGGGAGAAAUUCAUUCGCGUUUCGCCGUUGGCGUGAAGCGGUCGUGUGACGGAAAACGUUCGCGUUUUCCGCGCCUUCCGUUUUUCGAUCCGAUAGCGAACGCGUGCACUUUUCUCCUGGUAGGACGUCGCGAUCCGUUGGGUGUCGGUCUACGGCUCGCGGUGGAGCCCGAAUAUACGGCUUGCCGUCACGUUCGGACCCGCGUGUCCCGGCUGACUCGCUCGACGGUAUACGAAAGGUUUAAGGCCGCUCUUUGAGCGUUCGGCUCGUCGCAAGCGCGUCAGAUGUGUUGGCGAUCGGACCUGGUGCCGGUUCUGACCUCUGACGACUGUUGGCGACGAAGUUCUCGAACAGACCUUUGACCGAUCUGCGACGCUAUAGCUUUGGGUACUUUCAGGACCCGUCUUGAAACACGGACCAAGGAGUCUAGCAUGUGCGCGAGUCAUUGGGAAUCACUAAACCUAAAGGCGCAAUGAAAGUAAAAGUCCGCCUCGCGCGGACUUAGGGAGGACGAGCGGUUUACCCUUAAAAGUGGCCGCUCCGCACUCCCGGGGCGUCUCAUUCUCAUCGCGAGAAGAGGCGCACCAAGAGCGUACACGCUGGGACCCGAAAGAUGGUGAACUAUGCCUGGUCAGGACGAAGUCAGGGGAAACCCUGAUGGAGGUCCGUAGCGAUUCUGACGUGCAAAUCGAUCGUCGGAACUGGGUAUAGGGGCGAAAGACUAAUCGAAC